GUUCAAAGCAGGCAGAUCCAAUUUUCUGCCACCGAAUACAUUAGCAUGGGAUAAUGGAAUAAGACCCUGUCCUCCUAUUUUCAGUUGGUUUUGGCAGCGCGAGGACUAGGGUAAUGAUUAAUAGGGAUAGUUGGGGGCAUUAAUAUUUAAUUGUCAGAGGUGAAAUUCUUGGAUUUAUGAAAGAUUAACUUCUGCGAAAGCAUCUGCCAAGGAUGUUUUCAUUAAUCAAGAACGAAAGUUAGGGGAUCGAAGACGAUCAGAUACCGUCGUAGUCUUAACCAUAAACGAUGCCGACCAGCGAUUAGGAGACGUUGAAUACAAAACACCACCAUCGGCGCGGUCGUCCUUGGCGUCUCUCGGUCCUUCACGGGGCCGGGGCGCGGGGGCGGCUUAGCCCGGUGGCACCGGUGAAUGACUCCCCUAGCAGCUUGUGAGAAA
RNAcentral lists this ribosomal RNA (438 nucleotides) under Acanthamoeba genotype T4. RNAcentral describes it as "SSU rRNA". It matches the Rfam family "Eukaryotic small subunit ribosomal RNA", at positions 773 to 1097 of the family's 1831-position model. The record is from RNAcentral. Lineage: Eukaryota; Discosea; Longamoebia; Acanthamoebidae.